This 74-nucleotide transfer RNA is filed under the name Granulicella pectinivorans. It matches the Rfam family "tRNA". Rfam says of the family: Transfer RNA (tRNA) molecules are approximately 80 nucleotides in length. The record is from Rfam by way of RNAcentral. Lineage: Bacteria; Pseudomonadati; Acidobacteriota; Terriglobia; Terriglobales; Acidobacteriaceae.
GGGGACGUAGCUCAGUUGGUUAGAGCGCCGCCCUGUCACGGCGGAGGUCGCGGGUUCGAGCCCCGUCGUCCCCG